RNAcentral lists this long non-coding RNA (2166 nucleotides) under Spirodela polyrhiza (greater duckweed). RNAcentral describes it as "long non-coding RNA (SPOL_LNC002598)". Lineage: Eukaryota; Viridiplantae; Streptophyta; Magnoliopsida; Alismatales; Araceae. The record is from RNAcentral.
GUGUUCAAUUCUUCAGAAUAAGUAUGCCGUGUUACCAUCGAAUUCCACCUUGCUCAGCACACGAUCUCUUCCUCUUCCUUGGGCCAACUGGUUCAACCAUCUGAAACUGUGUCUGCACAUGAGCUCUAUUAUUUGUGUUUGUGGGUGCGAGGGAGAGAGAGAGAGAGAGAGAGAUGGUAUAGAAGCAUAUAUAAAAGAAGAAUAGAAACAGCGAUAACUAUAACUGCGGGAGCUGCAUAGAAAACAGAGCUUCAGAUCAUGGAUACAAAGCUCCUGGAACUGCACUAGCUGUUUCAUGCCCUGAAGCACAGCAUAAAUUAACUACACAAAUAAAUAAUAGUAUCCCCAAGUUUAGGCGGCGUUACCAAUUAUUUGGAUGGACCAAGGGAAAUGAAGACGAAGAUAUGCAGUGUAUAAUCAAUAUUUGGUUCACAUGAGGAGAUAUAAAGAUGAACAGUGGCAGGCAGUCACAAAAAAUUGAAACCUCUAUCAAUGGAUUCCGCCCACACCGAUCUCCAGAUUAUGGAGCAGGAAAUGAGAAUGUAAGAGACAUACUCAUGCAAGACACAACCAUCAGCAAUUGUCCAUUCAAAUAAAGGCUACCCAACAAGACAAAUAUCCUUUUUGAGAAGUCAAAGUAGGGCGAUGUUCAUAAUUAUUGUCACUAGCAACGUCCCUUGCUAUCAGAACCAGACUUGGAUCGCCUAGAACAGGGGACAAGGAGGUGGAGCAGGUGGGGAUUCAGAGGCAAAUAUAGCCUGAUAUUAAAAAAAAUGUUGGAUAGCAGAUUAGGUGAGAUGUCCAUAAUAAGACUGCCAAUGAUAUCCCUUGAACCCAUGGAUGGAGACAUGCGGCUGACAAUCCUAGAACAGACAGCCCACCAAACCAUACUCUCGGAGAUGCAGAGAACCCACAUAGUCUGAAGGACGCUAAGGAUCAAACCAGGAACCUUCAUGACCCACUUGAACACCAGAGAAGAACCUUCAUGAUCCUCUUGAAAGAGAGCAAGGUGCAGUAUUUUCAAGCCUCCUGUUUAUAGGAUUAACACGAGGCUUCUGAAUGGUCGCUGCUAAAUCUUGCCUAGAAAUCCCAACAGCACUCACAACUCUUAGAAACGGCCAAAUAGUGAAAGAUAUAAAUUUGGGCAUGGUGACCUACGAGAAUCAGCAAAAGAGAUCCUCAUGAAAGUAUUCAACUAGUCGAGCCAAGUUUCCUUCCAGUGGAGACUUCGAUCGGUGAUGGCGGACUCCGAUGUCCUCGUCAUGUACAAAUCUUGCCGUACCCAACAAAGCAUCUUUAGGUGGCUGAUGCCUGUCCUACCGGGGAAAGUCAUUUCGAAAGAGCCCAGGUUGAUGCUCUCAUCUUGUGAAACGCGGGCACAAGCGCAGUGCCCAGGCGUUCUUCGAAAAGGAAAACUUCCUCACGGACGCAAACUUCAGUGGGGAAAAUGAUCACUACAAGUCAGGUGAUAAAUAAGAACAGUAAUAGAGCAACGUGGGUGAUCUCCACCAUAACUCGGACUUCAGCGCCAUGACCGGAAUCGAAGCUGUCGGUCAGAAAAUGAAGGACAGCAAUGAGUGCCCUGUCCGCAAAUCAUUCUAGACGACGUGGCCUUCCACCGCAUCACGGAAGAUACGGCAUGGAGUGGCGCGUUAGGGCGGAGACAAAGCCCGGUGGGAGGAAGAUAGGAUAGAACAGGAGACAAGGACGGGCAGGCAGCAGGAGAUAUCAAAGGGGAAGAAAACGACAGAUACCCGUACAGAAAAUGCAAUAAACACUCGAGGUAAUCAAAGCUGAGAAGGGCCGGGGAUUUGGGAUCCAGGUGGGGUUCUUCGUCGACCCCAGAAAAGCUUCCAGUUUUUAGCAGAAGAAAAAGAGAAACAAAGAGGGGAACCAGGAGCGCCGCCGGCCGGCGGGCCGGCCGAAUGGGGGAGUCCAGGAACGCCGGCUACUGGUGGGGAUCGGUCGGUAAUUGUUUACUUACAGUGACCGAGGAAGCGGGCACCCCCAUUGCAGACCCAUUAGGCGAUCUCAGGGCAGUCGGUUUGGGCUUCAAUGGGCUUCGAUUUCCCGAUGCGGCAAAAAGUGGGCCCGACAGAAGCAGAAUAUAUUGUCCCGGUUUGAACUCAGUGGGCCCACUCGUAUCCCGGCGUCCCUCGCUGGGAC